This 567-nucleotide ribosomal RNA is filed under the name uncultured Alphaproteobacteria bacterium. RNAcentral's name for it is "bacterial SSU rRNA". It matches the Rfam family "Bacterial small subunit ribosomal RNA", at positions 1 to 607 of the family's 1533-position model. Lineage: Bacteria; Pseudomonadati; Pseudomonadota; Alphaproteobacteria. The record is from RNAcentral.
GGCCGCGGGAUUAGAGUUUGAUCCUGGCUCAGAGCGAACGCUGGCGGCAGGCCUAACACAUGCAAGUCGAGCGCCCGUAGCAAUACGGGAGCGGCAGACGGGAUAGUAACACGUGGGAACGCGCCCUUCGGUUCGGAAUAACUCAGGGAAACUUGAGCUAAUACCGGAUACGCCCUUACGGGGAAAGAUUUAUUGCCGAAGGAACGGCCCGCGUCCGAUUAGCUAGUUGGUGAGGUAAUGGCUCACCAAGGCGACGAUCGGUAGCUGGUCUGAGAGGAUGACCAGCAUCACUGGGACUGAGACACGGCCCAGACUCCUACGGGAGGCAGCAGUGGGGAAUAUUGGACAAUGGGUGCAAGCCUGAUCCAGCCAUGACGCGUGGAUGAUGAAGGCCUUACGGUUGUAAAGUCCUUUUAACGGGGAAGAUAAUGACGGUACCCGUAGAAACAGCACCGGCUAACUUCAUGCCAGCAGCCGCGGUAAUACGAAGGGGGCUAGUGUUGCUCGGAAUUACUGGGCGUACAGCGCACGUAAGCGGCUUUUUAAGUCGGUGGUGAAAUCCUGGAG